AUGAUCAUACUUUAUAGGAUCACUUCUAUAGUGCUAUUGCGGGGUUUCUCACCAUGAUUCUCGGAAUAUGUUCAACCACGAUGAGGACUGUUAGUGUAAUCCUCUGAGCGUGAAGCGGCUCUCAAGUGUGCUUAAGAGUUUUGAUGACUGUUCCGACUCUGUUUAUCGAUGUUCAGAUGAGAAUCAAUGUGUUGC
Penaeus monodon (black tiger shrimp) is the source of this 195-nucleotide small nucleolar RNA. RefSeq annotates it as small nucleolar RNA U3. The record is from RefSeq and is a predicted model, not a curated record. The transcript has a single exon. NCBI's taxonomy places the organism in Eukaryota, Metazoa, Arthropoda, Malacostraca, Decapoda, Penaeidae.